UACGGGGGGGGCAAGCGUUGUUCGGAAUUACUGGGCGUAAAGGGCUUGUAGGUGGCCAACUAAGUCAGACGUGAAAUCCCUCAGCUUAACUGGGGAACUGCGUCUGAUACUGGUUGGCUUGAGUGCAGGAGAGGAACGCGGAAUUCCAGGUGUAGCGGUGAAAUGCGUAGAUAUCUGGAGGAACACCGGUGGCGAAGGCGGCGUUCUGGACUGCAACUGACACUGAGAAACGAAAGCCAGGGUAGCAAACGGG
RNAcentral lists this ribosomal RNA (253 nucleotides) under uncultured bacterium. RNAcentral's name for it is "partial 16S ribosomal RNA". It matches the Rfam family "Bacterial small subunit ribosomal RNA", at positions 524 to 776 of the family's 1533-position model. The record is from RNAcentral.